UACGGAGGGUGCAAGCGUUGUCCGGAUUUAUUGGGUUUAAAGGGUGCGUAGGCGGGGUCUUAAGUCAGUGGUGAAAGCCGGCAGCUCAACUGUCGAAAUGCCAUUGAUACUGGGGUCCUUGAAUUCAGUUGAGGUAUGCGGAAUUGAUGGUGUAGCGGUGAAAUGCAUAGAUACCAUCAGGAACACCGAUUGCGAAGGCAGCAUACUGGGCUUGAAUUGCCGCUGAGGCACGAAAGUGUGGGGAUCGAACAGG
RNAcentral lists this ribosomal RNA (253 nucleotides) under uncultured bacterium. Its description in RNAcentral is "partial 16S ribosomal RNA". It matches the Rfam family "Bacterial small subunit ribosomal RNA", at positions 524 to 776 of the family's 1533-position model. The record is from RNAcentral.